Molecule: ribosomal RNA, 450 nt
Filed under: uncultured bacterium
Lineage: Bacteria
Description: partial 16S ribosomal RNA
Rfam family: Bacterial small subunit ribosomal RNA
Source: RNAcentral
GUGGGGAAUCUUCCGCAAUGGACGAAAGUCUGACGGAGCAACGCCGCGUGAGUGAUGAAGGUCUUCGGAUUGUAAAGCUCUGUUAAUCGGGACGAAAGAGCCUAGUGUGAAUAAUGCUAGGAAGUGACGGUACCGGAAUAGAAAGCCACGGCUAACUACGUGCCAGCAGCCGCGGUAAUACGUAGGUGGCAAGCGUUGUCCGGAAGUAUUGGGCGUAAAGCGCGCGCAGGCGGAUCUGCCAGUCUGUCUUAAAAGUUCGGGGCUUAACCCCGUGAUGGGAUGGAAACUACAGAUCUAGAGUAUCGGAGAGGAAAGUGGAAUUCCUAGUGUAGCGGUGAAAUGCGUAGAUAUUAGGAAGAACACCAGUGGCGAAGGCGACUUUCUGGACGAAAACUGACGCUGAGGCGCGAAAGCCAGGGGAGCGAACGGGAUUAGAAACCCCGGUAGUCC